Molecule: ribosomal RNA, 422 nt
Filed under: uncultured bacterium
Lineage: Bacteria
Description: bacterial SSU rRNA
Rfam family: Bacterial small subunit ribosomal RNA
Source: RNAcentral
UAAGGAAUAUUGGACAAUGGUCGCAAGACUGAUCCAGCCAUGCCGCGUGCAGGAAGACGGCCCUAUGGGUUGUAAACUGCUUUUGUACCAGAGAAAACCUAUCUACGUGUAGAUAGCUGAUAGUAUGGUAAGAAUAAGCAUCGGCUAACUUCGUGCCAGCAGCCGCGGUGAGACGAAGGAUGCAAGCGUUAUCCGGAUUCAUUGGGUUUAAAGGGUGCGUAGGCGGGCUUGUAAGUCAGUGGUGAAAUCUCUCAGCUUAACUGAGAAACUGCCAUUGAUACUGCAGGCCUAGAGUAUAGAUGACGUUGGCGGAAUAUGACAUGUAGUGGUGAAAUACUUAGAUAUGUCAUAGAACACCGAUUGCGAAGGCAGCUAACGAAACUAUAACUGACGCUGAGGCACGAAAGUGCGGGGAUCAAACA